RNAcentral lists this ribosomal RNA (230 nucleotides) under uncultured Alicycliphilus sp. RNAcentral's name for it is "partial 16S ribosomal RNA". It matches the Rfam family "Bacterial small subunit ribosomal RNA", at positions 550 to 774 of the family's 1533-position model. Lineage: Bacteria; Pseudomonadati; Pseudomonadota; Betaproteobacteria; Burkholderiales; Comamonadaceae. The record is from RNAcentral.
AGCUGAUCACUGGGUGUAAAGCGUGCGCAGGCGGCUUUGUAAGACAGAGGUGAAAUCCCCGGGCUCAACCUGGGAACUGCCUUUGUGACUGCAAGGCUGGAGUGCGGCAGAGGGGGAUGGAAUUCCGCGUGUAGCAGUGAAAUGCGUAGGUAUGCGGAGGAACACCGAUGGCGAAGGCAAUCCCCUGGGCCUGCACUGACGCUCAUGCACGAAAGCGUGGGGAGCAAACA